RNAcentral lists this ribosomal RNA (483 nucleotides) under uncultured bacterium. Its description in RNAcentral is "partial 16S ribosomal RNA". It matches the Rfam family "Bacterial small subunit ribosomal RNA", at positions 28 to 507 of the family's 1533-position model. The record is from RNAcentral.
GACGAACGCUGGCGGCGUGCUUAACACAUGCAAGUCGAACGCUGAAGCUCAGCUUUUGUUGGGUGGAUGAGUGGCGAACGGGUGAGUAACACGUGAGUAACCUGCCCCCUUCUUUGGGAUAACGCCCGGAAACGGGUGCUAAUACUGGAUAUUCACUGGUCUUCGCAUGGGGGUUGGUGGAAAGGGUUUUUCUGGUGGGGGAUGGGCUCGCGGCCUAUCAGCUUGUUGGUGGGGUGAUGGCCUACCAAGGCUUUGACGGGUAGCCGGCCUGAGAGGGUGACCGGUCACAUUGGGACUGAGAUACGGCCCAGACGCCUACGGGAGGCAGCAGUGGGGAAAAUUGCACAAUGGGCGCAAGCCUGAUGCAGCGACGCCGCGUGAGGGAUGGAGGCCUUCGGGUUGUGAACCUCUUUCGCUCAUGGUCAAGCCGCAACAAUGGUUGUGGUGAGGGUAGUGGGUAAAGAAGCGCCGGCUAACUACGUG